AUGUCAUUGAAACAAAUCUGUUUUGUCUCUGUUUUCUUUUCGGAUGAUGAGGAUGAGCCAGCCGAUCCUAACAUAAUUUUGAAGGAGCCGGACGACGAAGCCUCAAAAUCAGAUAAAGAUGUCUCCAACGCGACCGGACUUCCACUA
Molecule: ribosomal RNA, 147 nt
Filed under: Triticum aestivum (bread wheat)
Lineage: Eukaryota; Viridiplantae; Streptophyta; Magnoliopsida; Poales; Poaceae
Description: partial small subunit ribosomal RNA
Source: RNAcentral